This 1987-nucleotide long non-coding RNA is filed under the name Anas platyrhynchos (mallard). RNAcentral's name for it is "lncRNA (ENSAPLG00020013418.1)". The record is from RNAcentral. Lineage: Eukaryota; Metazoa; Chordata; Aves; Anseriformes; Anatidae.
GAAGAAAAAUAAAUAAACAAGCACUGUAACUAAAUGUUCUUGUUACUACUUUUUCAGAUGCAUUCAAUACCUAUGUUGUUUUGAAAGUCCAUAAUUUGAAAAGCACUACAAUAGACAGAAGAGGAAGUGAACCUUCCUGGGAACAGGACUUCAUGUUGAAGGUCCAGGUGCCUGGUGGACAUUGCAUUCUGAAAUAAUAAAAAAUGGAAGUGAGAUUCAAGGCACAAGAACACCAACUUCACAUGAGAUCUUACUGGAUGUCUACUUCGUAUUACCAUUUGAUGUGCACGAAGAUUUAGAUUACAGACGCUACUACAGAGGGAUGCUUCUCCAAGGGAAAACUCAUUCACAUAAAGAUACACAUGAUAGACUGUCACCCAUAGAAAGUGGUCUCAGCAUGCAAGAAAACAAACUAAGGUAUUUUAAUUUGUCAUAUAAAGCAUGUAUUAUAACUUACUGAUUUUCAUUUAAGUGACAUUCAGUGAUACGAUUAUUUUAAGCAAGUAUGUGACUGCAAGCUGUUUAAAACUAUAAAGCCAUGAAGCAUACUUCUACCAUCAUGGUGGGACAGAACAUGAUCUUUAUAUUCCUUUGAAAGAAAAAGUAUGAAGAAUACUGUACAAACAAAUUGGCAACGUUUGUGCCCUCUUGAUGAAUCAUUGAUUGUCAGAAAAUGAGAUUUUAGCCUACAAAAAAUGUAGACAUUAGAAGUAAAUCAGAAGUAUAGGAAUUUGAAAAUAAAUAAAUAAGUUUAAAUAAGAGAGGAAUCAAUUAAUGAUUUGAAAGCAAUAAAUAAGUUUUAGAAUCCGUUGCAACAAAUUAUGUAUGUUUGUAUACAGAUAAAUGAAAGCUAAUAUAUUUGUGCUUCUGAAGCUAAGGUGAUAUUCUAAAAGGACAAUAUUUUAAAGACAAUUAAGUUAGUCAUUGACUUUUCUAUGUUCUUUAAUAGCAAAUAUAUGGCAAAGCAAAUUUCUUUCAUAUAAAAGGAACAUUUCAUCAGAACUGGAAGACACUAUUUCCAUUCAUCCUUGUUUGUAAAACCCAUGCUGCUUAUAGCCAUGAGGAUGUUCUCUCCUGUUUUCCAUCUCUUCUGGAACUGUGUUUUGUUGGAAGAGUCUCUCUUGAACAGUGUUCUGAAUUGGAAAACAAGAAACGCUACUUGUUCACUUGAUUACUUUUCUGCCUGUUUAGUGAAUUAAAUAGGUUUAGGGAUGAAAAGACUAAUUUUCAUCCUACUCUCAGCUAAUCACAGUUCUCCCUAUGUUGUCCCUCUCCUGAGUCAUCAUAACAGUUUUUCUUGCCAUUGAAUUAACCAGACUGGAUAACUGUUGUGGAUUAAAAUGUUAGGUUAGUUUCCAUUCAGCUCAGCUUUGUGGUCCAUUUAACUUGGCAGAUGCUCAAAUAUAUUGUUGCAUCACAAAGGAAGAGCAGGAAUGAAUGGGGGCAGUCCUACCUUAUUCUAGCUUUGUGUUAGUGGAUCGACAGUCUAAAUAAUGAGGUGUAUACUGAAGCAUGGGAGAGAAAGCUUUUCAUGGAGCUCUGAAAAAUUGAACUCCAUCUCACAACAGAGUCUUUAGAUGAGGCAAAUAUCAGUAAGACUUUCUUUAGCAUGAUUUUCUAGUUUGUGAUUCACAAGCAAUGUGCUGCUUGUGUGAUACUUAAUUUUAACGUUCACAAGGCAUUAAAGAUAUCAAAAUUGCGACCAACAGGAAAAACAAGCAGUAUUUUUAAGAGUGUCAAAUAGGACAGCAAAGUUGACAGAGCAGUGGUAUAUAAGAUUCCUCAUCAACAGUAAUCAAGUUCAAUGUGGCUAAGCGUUGAGAACUUUUGAGUAGUAUUAAAAAUGCAGAAACUUGCACUAUUCACUGUCAGAUAAGAGUUGAUAAAAACUGUUACAUAAUUGUGUACUCUCUGAAGGUAUAACAUGUACACACAUAAAUGACCUUUUCAUUUGAAUUUCAAUGACUUACAGUAAGAAAGUGUUAGA